RNAcentral lists this unclassified non-coding RNA (21 nucleotides) under Chlamydomonas reinhardtii. Its description in RNAcentral is "small RNA Cre_3797". Lineage: Eukaryota; Viridiplantae; Chlorophyta; Chlorophyceae; Chlamydomonadales; Chlamydomonadaceae. The record is from RNAcentral.
UUCCAUGUGAACAGCAAUUGG